GAUGAACGCUGGCGGCGUGCCUAAUACAUGCAAGUAGAACGCUGAAGGAAGGAGCUUGCUCUUUCCGGAUGAGUUGCGAACGGGUGAGUAACGCGUAGGUAACCUGCCUGGUAGCGGGGGAUAACUAUUGGAAACGAUAGCUAAUACCGCAUAACAGUAGAUGUUGCAUGAUAUCUACUUAAAAGGUGCAAUUGCACCACUACCAGAUGGACCUGCGUUGUAUUAGCUAGUUGGUGAGGUAACGGCUCACCAAGGCGACGAUACAUAGCCGACCUGAGAGGGUGAUCGGCCACACUGGGACUGAGACACGGCCCAGACUCCUACGGGAGGCAGCAGUAGGGAAUCUUCGGCAAUGGACGGAAGUCUGACCGAGCAACGCCGCGUGAGUGAAGAAGGUUUUCGGAUCGUAAAGAUCUGUUGUAAGAGAAGAACGAGUGUGAGAGUGGAAAGUUCACACUGUGACGGUAUCUUACCAGAAAGGGACGGCUAACUACGUG
This 497-nucleotide ribosomal RNA is filed under the name uncultured bacterium. Its description in RNAcentral is "partial 16S ribosomal RNA". It matches the Rfam family "Bacterial small subunit ribosomal RNA", at positions 28 to 507 of the family's 1533-position model. The record is from RNAcentral.